CAUUAAAAAAUUCAUCCAUUUCUAUUAUUAAAAAUGGACAAAUAGUGAUACAUGCAUGCCACGUAUAACUCAUGCUGAUGUACAAAGACCCGUUUUUAACCAUAGAAAUACAUGAAAUUUUUAACA
This is a non-coding RNA of Gossypium raimondii (Peruvian cotton), 126 nucleotides long. Lineage: Eukaryota; Viridiplantae; Streptophyta; Magnoliopsida; Malvales; Malvaceae. The record is from Rfam.